This 253-nucleotide ribosomal RNA is filed under the name uncultured bacterium. RNAcentral's name for it is "partial 16S ribosomal RNA". It matches the Rfam family "Bacterial small subunit ribosomal RNA", at positions 524 to 776 of the family's 1533-position model. The record is from RNAcentral.
UACGAAGGGUGCAAGCGUUACUCGGAAUUACUGGGCGUAAAGCGUGCGUAGGUGGUUUGUUAAGUCUGUUGUGAAAGCCCCGGGCUCAACCUGGGAAUGGCAAUGGAUACUGGCAGGCUAGAGUGCAGAAGGGGCAAUCGGAAUUCUUGGUGUAGCGGUGAAAUGCGUAGAUAUCAAGAGGAACACCUGAGGUGAAGACGGGUUGCUGGGCUGACACUGACGCUGAGGCGCGAAAGCUAGGGGAGCAAACGGG